UGCAAGUCGAGCGGGGAAGUAUAGCUUGCUAUACGACCUAGCGGCGGACGGGUGAGUAAUGCUUAGGAAUCUGCCUAUUAGUGGGGGACAACAUUCCGAAAGGAAUGCUAAUACCGCAUACGCCCUACGGGGGAAAGCAGGGGAUCUUCGGACCUUGCGCUAAUAGAUGAGCCUAAGUCAGAUUAGCUAGUUGGUGGGGUAAAGGCCUACCAAGGCGACGAUCUGUAGCGGGUCUGAGAGGAUGAUCCGCCACACUGGGACUGAGACACGGCCCAGACUCCUACGGGAGGCAGCAGUGGGGAAUAUUGGACAAUGGGCGAAAGCCUGAUCCAGCCAUGCCGCGUGUGUGAAGAAGGCCUUUUGGUUGUAAAGCACUUUAAGCGAGGAGGAGGCUACCGAGAUUAAUACUCUUGGAUAGUGGACGUUACUCGCAGAAUAAGCACCGGCUAACUCUGUGCCAGCAGCCGCGGUAAUACAGAGGGUGCGAGCGUUAAUCGGAUUUACUGGGCGUAAAGCGUGCGUAGGCGGCUUUUUAAGUCGGAUGUGAAAUCCCUGAGCUUAACUUAGGAAUUGCAUUCGAUACUGGGAAGCUAGAGUAUGGGAGAGGAUGGUAGAAUUCCAGGUGUAGCGGUGAAAUGCGUAGAGAUCUGGAGGAAUACCGAUGGCGAAGGCAGCCAUCUGGCCUAAUACUGACGCUGAGGUACGAAAGCAUGGGGAGCAAACAGGAUUAGAUACCCUGGUAGUCCAUGCCGUAAACGAUGUCUACUAGCCGUUGGGGCC
RNAcentral lists this ribosomal RNA (780 nucleotides) under Acinetobacter sp. 2P2C12. RNAcentral's name for it is "bacterial SSU rRNA". It matches the Rfam family "Bacterial small subunit ribosomal RNA", at positions 56 to 830 of the family's 1533-position model. Lineage: Bacteria; Pseudomonadati; Pseudomonadota; Gammaproteobacteria; Moraxellales; Moraxellaceae. The record is from RNAcentral.